CCGCGUUCUCAGGGCGGGGUGAAACUCCCCACCGGCGGUAUGCGGCUUCGGCCGCGAGCCCGCGAGCGCCCUCCGCGAGGAGGGGUCAGCAGAUCAGGUGCGAUGCCUGAGCCGACGGUCAUAGUCCGGAUGAAAGAGAACGUGU
Molecule: non-coding RNA, 145 nt
Filed under: Methylobacterium brachiatum
Lineage: Bacteria; Pseudomonadati; Pseudomonadota; Alphaproteobacteria; Hyphomicrobiales; Methylobacteriaceae
Description: FMN
Rfam family: FMN riboswitch aptamer (RFN element)
About the family: The RFN element is a highly conserved domain that is found frequently in the 5'-untranslated regions of prokaryotic mRNAs that encode for flavin mononucleotide (FMN) biosynthesis and transport proteins. This element is a metabolite-dependent riboswitch that directly binds FMN in the absence of proteins. In Bacillus subtilis, the riboswitch most likely controls gene expression by causing premature transcription termination within the 5' untranslated region of the ribDEAHT operon and precluding access to the ribosome-binding site of ypaA mRNA.
Source: RNAcentral